CCUACGGGCGGCUGCAGUGGGGAAUAUUGGACAAUGGGCGAAAGCCUGAUCCAGCCAUGCCGCGUGUGUGAAGAAGGCCUUCGGGUUGUAAAGCACUUUCAGUGGGGAAGAAAGCCUUGGGGCUAAUACCCUCGAGGAAGGACAUCACCCACAGAAGAAGCACCGGCUAACUCCGUGCCAGCAGCCGCGGUAAUACGGAGGGUGCGAGCGUUAAUCGGAAUUACUGGGCGUAAAGCGCGCGUAGGCGGUCUGAUAAGCCGGUUGUGAAAGCCCCGGGCUCAACCUGGGAACGGCAUCCGGAACUGUCAGGCUAGAGUGCAGGAGAGGAAGGUAGAAUUCCCGGUGUAGCGGUGAAAUGCGUAGAGAUCGGGAGGAAUACCAGUGGCGAAGGCGGCCUUCUGGACUGACACUGACGCUGAGGUGCGAAAGCGUGGGUAGCAAACAGGAUUAGAUACCCGUGGUAGUC
RNAcentral lists this ribosomal RNA (466 nucleotides) under Vreelandella stevensii. RNAcentral describes it as "partial 16S ribosomal RNA". It matches the Rfam family "Bacterial small subunit ribosomal RNA", at positions 338 to 795 of the family's 1533-position model. The record is from RNAcentral. Lineage: Bacteria; Pseudomonadati; Pseudomonadota; Gammaproteobacteria; Oceanospirillales; Halomonadaceae.